RNAcentral lists this ribosomal RNA (596 nucleotides) under Pseudomonas sp. RNAcentral describes it as "bacterial SSU rRNA". It matches the Rfam family "Bacterial small subunit ribosomal RNA", at positions 95 to 686 of the family's 1533-position model. The record is from RNAcentral. Lineage: Bacteria; Pseudomonadati; Pseudomonadota; Gammaproteobacteria; Pseudomonadales; Pseudomonadaceae. RNAcentral also lists the same sequence under 1 other name.
GCGGCGGACGGGUGAGUAAUGCCUAGGAAUCUGCCUGGUAGUGGGGGACAACGUUUCGAAAGGAACGCUAAUACCGCAUACGUCCUACGGGAGAAAGCAGGGGACCUUCGGGCCUUGCGCUAUCAGAUGAGCCUAGGUCGGAUUAGCUAGUUGGUGAGGUAAUGGCUCACCAAGGCGACGAUCCGUAACUGGUCUGAGAGGAUGAUCAGUCACACUUGGAACUGAGACACGGUCCAGACUCCUACGGGAGGCAGCAGUGGGGAAUAUUGGACAAUGGGCGAAAGCCUGAUCCAGCCAUGCCCGCGUGUGUGAAGAAGGUCUUCGGAUUGUAAAGCACUUUAAGUUGGGAGGAAGGGUUGUAGAUUAAUACUCUGCAAUUUUGACGUUACCGACAGAAUAAGCACCGGCUAACUCUGUGCCAGCAGCCGCGGUAAUACAGAGGGUGCAAGCGUUAAUCGGAAUUCUGGGCGUAAAGCGCGCGUAGGUGGUUUGUUAAGUUGGAUGUGAAAUCCCCGGGCUCAACCUGGGAACUGCAUCCAAAACUGGCAAGCUAGAGUAUGGUAGAGGGUGGUGGAAUUUCCUGUGUACCGGUGAAA